This 1615-nucleotide ribosomal RNA is filed under the name Haemophilus influenzae. RNAcentral's name for it is "bacterial LSU rRNA". It matches the Rfam family "Bacterial large subunit ribosomal RNA", at positions 1221 to 2819 of the family's 2925-position model. The record is from RNAcentral. Lineage: Bacteria; Pseudomonadati; Pseudomonadota; Gammaproteobacteria; Pasteurellales; Pasteurellaceae.
CUGUUGGGUAGGGGAGCGUUGUGUAAGCGGAAGAAGGUUCAUCGAGAGGUGGGCUGGACGUAUCACAAGUGCGAAUGCUGACAUAAGUAACGAUAAAACGGGUGAAAAACCCGUUCGCCGGAAGACCAAGGGUUCCUGUCCAACGUUAAUCGGGGCAGGGUGAGUCGGCUCCUAAGGCGAGGCUGAAAAGCGUAGUCGAUGGGAAACAGGUUAAUAUUCCUGUACUUGGUAAAGCUGCGAUGUGGGGACGGAGUAGGUUAGGUUAUCGCACUGUUGGAUAUGUGCGUUUAAGUUGGUAGGUGGGAAGUUUAGGCAAAUCCGGGCUUCCUUAACACAGAGAGAUGAUGACGAGGCUCUACGGAGCUGAAGUAACUGAUACCACACUUCCAGGAAAAGCCACUAAGCGAAAGGCUUUACUAAACCGUACUGAAAACCGACACAGGUGGUCAGGUAGAGAAUACUCAGGCGCUUGAGAGAACUCGGGUGAAGGAACUAGGCAAAAUAGCACCGUAACUUCGGGAGAAGGUGCGCCGGCGUAGAUUGUAAGGGCUAGCCCCUGAAGGUUGAACCGGUCGAAGAUACCAGCUGGCUGCAACUGUUUAUUAAAAACACAGCACUCUGCAAACACGAAAGUGGACGUAUAGGGUGUGAUGCCUGCCCGGUGCUGGAAGGUUAAUUGAUGGUGUAAUCGCAAGAGAAGCACCUGAUCGAAGCCCCAGUAAACGGCGGCCGUAACUAUAACGGUCCUAAGGUAGCGAAAUUCCUUGUCGGGUAAGUUCCGACCUGCACGAAUGGCAUAAUGAUGGCCAGGCUGUCUCCACCCGAGACUCAGUGAAAUUGAAAUCGCCGUGAAGAUGCGGUGUACCCGCGGCUAGACGGAAAGACCCCGUGAACCUUUACUAUAGCUUGACACUGAACAUUGAAUUUUGAUGUGUAGGAUAGGUGGGAGCCUUUGAAGCAGUGACGCCAGUCAUUGUGGAGGCGACCUUGAAAUACCACCCUUUAACGUUUGAUGUUCUAACGAAGAUGACGAAACGUGGUCUCGGACAGUGUCUGGUGGGUAGUUUGACUGGGGCGGUCUCCUCCCAAAGCGUAACGGAGGAGCACGAAGGUUUGCUAAUCACGGUCGGACAUCGUGAGGUUAGUGCAAUGGUAUAAGCAAGCUUAACUGCGAGACAGACAAGUCGAGCAGGUACGAAAGUAGGUCAUAGUGAUCCGGUGGUUCUGAAUGGAAGGGCCAUCGCUCAACGGAUAAAAGGUACUCCGGGGAUAACAGGCUGAUACCGCCCAAGAGUUCAUAUCGACGGCGGUGUUUGGCACCUCGAUGUCGGCUCAUCACAUCCUGGGGCUGAAGUAGGUCCCAAGGGUAUGGCUGUUCGCCAUUUAAAGUGGUACGCGAGCUGGGUUUAGAACGUCGUGAGACAGUUCGGUCCCUAUCUGCCGUGGGCGUAGGAGAAUUGGUUGGGGCUGCUCCUAGUACGAGAGGACCGGAGUGGACGCACCACUGGUGUUCCGGUUGUGUCGCCAGACGCAUUGCCGGGUAGCUAAGUGCGGAAGAGAUAAGUGCUGAAAGCAUCUAAGCACGAAACUUGCCAAGAGAUGAGUUCUCCCAAUC